UCUGGGGACGUGGGAGUGAGGCCUACCUCUGCCGACAUGCACCCACAGAACUUCCGACCCCCGACUCCUCCUUACCCCGGCCCAUGGGUAGGAGGUUGGAGCAGCGGGAGCAGCUACCGGGGUACCCCUGGCGAAGGCAGGCCGCGGCCUCCCUCCCCUCCGGACGAGUACCGGAUCCCGCAUCACACGCCGUCGUUCGGGCCCGGGUGUAGGCCCUAUGGGCGCAGCCACUCUGCGCAACACGGCGGCAGCUUCCCCGGGGGCCGGUUUGGGUCUCCAUCCCCUGGCGGCUACCCUGGCUCCUACUCCAGGCCCCCCGCGGGGUCCCAGCAGCAAUUCGGCUACUCCCCGGGGCAGCAGGCCCACCCCCAGGGUUCUCCAAGGACAUCUACACCUUUUGGAUCAGGGCGUGGUAGAGAAAAAAGAAUGUCUAAUGAGUUGGAAAGUUAUUUCAAACCUUCAAUGCUUGAAGACCCUUGGGCUGGCCUAGAACCAGUGUCUGUAGUGGAUAUAAGCCAACAGUACAGCAAUACUCAAACAUUCACAGGCAAAAAGGGAAGAUACUUUUGUUAACAUUUCUGAAAUUCAACUGGAAGCUUCAUGUGUCAGGAACAUCUUGGGCAAAACUCACUUGUGUACCUAAGUUGAACCCUGACAUGGUGACUUUGAAUAAUUAGUUGAGUCUUCUUGGUAUUUUUCAUCAUGUCAAAUAUUGUUGGUAUUAGAAAAGAAAUAUGGUAGGAUAAUUUGGAAUAUUUCUCUGAAAGUGCCUACCACAUUUUAGAAGAUUUACAGUUUCCAACUAUUUAACAUUCUUGGUUAUAUAAUGGACAUUUGUCUUUUAAUGUUUUUCCAGUGUUUUAAAAUAAAACAUUUUGUCUUCCUAAAAAAAAAAAA
RNA transcript from Myotis lucifugus (little brown bat), 897 nucleotides. It is a transcript of the gene named M-phase-specific PLK1-interacting protein pseudogene, with no coding region annotated. Lineage: Eukaryota; Metazoa; Chordata; Mammalia; Chiroptera; Vespertilionidae. The transcript has a single exon. The record is from RefSeq and is a predicted model, not a curated record.